GUGGUCGUAACUCAGUUGGUAGAGCAUGCGAUUGAAGAUCGUAGGGUUGUGCAAUAGGGUCAUUGCCAUCGCACCUACACCA
RNAcentral lists this transfer RNA (82 nucleotides) under Chloroflexota bacterium. RNAcentral describes it as "tRNA-Phe". The record is from RNAcentral. Lineage: Bacteria; Bacillati; Chloroflexota.